RNAcentral lists this ribosomal RNA (473 nucleotides) under uncultured bacterium. RNAcentral's name for it is "bacterial SSU rRNA". It matches the Rfam family "Bacterial small subunit ribosomal RNA", at positions 335 to 801 of the family's 1533-position model. The record is from RNAcentral.
ACUCCUACGGGAGGCAGCAGUAGGGAAUCUUCCACAAUGGGCGCAAGCCUGAUGGAGCAACACCGCGUGAGUGAAGAAGGGUUUCGGCUCGUAAAGCUCUGUUGUUAAAGAAGAACACGUAUGAGAGUAACUGUUCAUACGUUGACGGUAUUCAACCAGAAAGUCACGGCUAACUACGUGCCAGCAGCCGCGGUAAUACGUAGGUGGCAAGCGUUAUCCGGAUUUAUUGGGCGUAAAGAGAGUGCAGGCGGUUUUCUAAGUCUGAUGUGAAAGCCUUCGGCUUAACCGGAGAAGUGCAUCGGAAACUGGAUAACUUGAGUGCAGAAGAGGGUAGUGGAACUCCAUGUGUAGCGGUGGAAUGCGUAGAUAUAUGGAAGAACACCAGUGGCGAAGGCGGCUACCUGGUCUGCAACUGACGCUGAGACUCGAAAGCAUGGGUAGCGAACAGGAUUAGAUACCCUGGUAGGAUAGCG